Molecule: transfer RNA, 72 nt
Filed under: Camelus bactrianus (Bactrian camel)
Lineage: Eukaryota; Metazoa; Chordata; Mammalia; Artiodactyla; Camelidae
Also listed under: 3 other names
Rfam family: tRNA
About the family: Transfer RNA (tRNA) molecules are approximately 80 nucleotides in length. Their secondary structure includes four short double-helical elements and three loops (D, anti-codon, and T loops).
Source: Rfam by way of RNAcentral
GAGGGUAUAGCUCAGUGAUAGAACAGGUGCUUAACAUGCACAAGGCCUUGGGUUCAAUCCCCAGUACCUCCA